GGAGAUGUAGCUAAGUGGUAGAGUGCUUGCCUAGCAUGCGUGAGGCCCUGAGUUCAAUCCCCAGCACCA
Molecule: transfer RNA, 69 nt
Filed under: Heterocephalus glaber (naked mole-rat)
Lineage: Eukaryota; Metazoa; Chordata; Mammalia; Rodentia; Bathyergidae
Rfam family: tRNA
About the family: Transfer RNA (tRNA) molecules are approximately 80 nucleotides in length. Their secondary structure includes four short double-helical elements and three loops (D, anti-codon, and T loops).
Source: Rfam by way of RNAcentral